AUAAAAUGGUUGUUAUGAGGCUUGGAUUGGUUUUGAGUGUUUGUGUCUAAACAUACUUGAGCUGGAAUUGAAUCUUGCUAGCCAAAAGUUUCUUGGAGCUGCAAAAGUUGUCGAAUGAAAAGUGCAGCAGAAAACAAGAAAAUUCUGAAUUUUCUUUGUAUGUAGCAUUGCCGGAACUUGCAGGAUUGCAUUUUAGUUAUGGGCCUUGUUGCUUAGUUUCAUGACAUUAUUUUGAUCAAAAAUUGUGUUUUCAGAGCAAGCUGCGUUUGAAAUUUGUUUUGGCUGCUGAAAUCUUAAGGGCAAAGUGUCGAAAAA
RNAcentral lists this long non-coding RNA (315 nucleotides) under Coffea arabica (coffee). RNAcentral's name for it is "long non-coding RNA (CARA_LNC006521)". The record is from RNAcentral. Lineage: Eukaryota; Viridiplantae; Streptophyta; Magnoliopsida; Gentianales; Rubiaceae.